RNAcentral lists this ribosomal RNA (436 nucleotides) under uncultured bacterium. RNAcentral describes it as "bacterial SSU rRNA". It matches the Rfam family "Bacterial small subunit ribosomal RNA", at positions 956 to 1392 of the family's 1533-position model. The record is from RNAcentral.
GCAACGCGAAGAACCUUACCCACCUUUGACAUGGCAGGAACUUACCAGAGAUGGUUUGGUGCUCGAAAGAGAACCUGCACGCAGGUGCUGCAUGGCUGUCGUCAGCUCGUGUCGUGAGAUGUUGGGUUAAGUCCCGCAACGAGCGCAACCCUUGCCAUUAGUUGCUACAUUCAGUUGAGCACUCUAAUGGGACUGCCGGUGACAAACCGGAGGAAGGUGGGGAUGACGUCAAGUCCUCAUGGCCCUUAUAGGUGGGGCUACACACGUCAUACAAUGGCUGGUACAAAGGGUUGCCAACCCGCGAGGGGGAGCUAAUCCCAUAAAGCCAGUCGUAGUCCGGAUCGCAGUCUGCAACUCGACUGCGUGAAGUCGGAAUCGCUAGUAAUCGUGGAUCAGAAUGUCACGGUGAAUACGUUCCCGGGCCUUGUACACACCG